Non-coding RNA from Danio rerio (zebrafish), 4475 nucleotides. Lineage: Eukaryota; Metazoa; Chordata; Actinopteri; Cypriniformes; Danionidae. The record is from RefSeq and is a predicted model, not a curated record.
AGUCAUAACAUAGCACAACUUGAAUUAGACAGCAGAAAACCUGCAAUUUCUGUGUGAUGUGAGGCAAAAUGGACUCUAUUGUGGUGGAACUUGUUCUUGUGCAUUAUGUUGUGGAGACGAGACGCAGCACUGUUCAGCACUUUUUCAGAAAAUUACAUUUGUAUUUUUAUAUAUCUGAGCAAUGUUCUUUCACAAAAAAAGGUUUGUUUAAUUAAUACAGAUCUUAACCAUACAUAAUCUGUAUAUAUUUUAUUUUUUUGUUAAAAGACUUGAAAAGACUCAAAUUAAACUGUAGGGCUUUGCACUUGACUUGAGACUUGUUGCCUUUGACUUGGAACUUGACUCUGGACUUGAGGGCAAUGAAUUGAGACUAACUUGUGACUUGCCAAACAAUGACUUGAUCCCACCUCUAAGUCAUACUUGCCUUUCUUUGAGUGAUCUGCAUAAUCUAGCCCACGUACGGUGCGCGAUAGCCUUGGCUGAGAAGGCUGUGCAGUGCAGCACGCAGCCACUCAAUGAGGAAACAGAGAUUGACUGCAUCAGAAAUGCAUUCAUAUUCCGCAAUGACGAGAAACAAUAUAGAUCACACCACCCAACACAUGUAGACCAAAGUAACGAGCGUGAUUUAGAAGUGUCAGGAGUAGAGGGUACACAUAUUUGUGUAAAAAUGUGAGGAGUAAAAGUAAAAAUUUGCCAAAAAAUAAAUAGUGGAGUGAAGUACCCAGAUAUUAGAGUGGCAUUGAUUCACUGUAAUUCUGUCAGAGCCAUCAUUUCGGUUGAGGUUGAAUAUUCAGCAUUGAAUUAAAUUAUAAAUCAACAUUGAUAAUUCAAACACUGAACAUUGUUGAAAAUACUGACAUUGAAUAGCUGCUGAUAAUUCAACUAUUUGCCUGUGGUUCUUUGAGCUGAACGGUCAGAGUCACAGCACUGUAAAAAUAUUCAUUGUUGUUGUACAAUUUCACAGACAUCACAAGUCUCCCAGAAGUUGCGGGAGUAUCCUACAAAUGCAUAGAGACUCUUGGAUGCCUGCAAAUGAAUAAUAAUCUCUCAGAAAUUGCGCGUCUCCCGCCCAGUCCUGAAAUACGAUGUACACCUCGCUCUCCCUGCAUCCCUCCCAGUUCUUCAGGUAUGUCGCGCGCAACUCACCCCACCACUCUCCAGGUACGUUUCGUGUGCAACUCGCCCCCAAUGCUCUUCAGGUUCACAACUUGCAUCCUACAACAUCCAGAGUAAGCACAACUGUGAGGGAGACACCAUCCAUGGCAUGGCUGAGGGUCCACACUGAGCAUCUCAUCCGCAGCAUGAAGCAACACAGGAUGGACAGUCAUCAUCUCUUUCUUUUACAGUGAGCACCAACUGGAUUUACACAAUGGCUUGCCUUCUGCAUGAGUAAAAGCUUGAGCUAAAGAUUACAGAGUUCACACGCUGUACAUAAUGUAUAUGUUGUUGCCUGCACUGCAGAAAUAUAAAGUUGUCAAUAUAAGAAACAUUCAUUUUCAACAUAAUCAUUUACACAUAUAUAACAACAAUUUCUGUGAACAAUUGCUCUGCACUAAUGUAAACAUGAAUAACUUUAGAGAGAAACAUGCAAUGCUUUCCUCCAUCAAAUGUACUGCCUCUGUCUUUUCACAAAAUCAAGCAGGCAACUACCGUCAGAAUCCAAGUGAUGCUCAAGUGCUGGUUGUAUUUAAUUACAUUUCAUGUUAGCCUUUUAAAAUAAGAUAAUGUUUUAAAUAUAAAAUUACAAGAAUAAUGCAAAAUGCAUUUGUUUUAAAAAUAUAAUGAAUAUAACCCCACCUCCAACUCAUUUACAAUAAGGACAACCCUGAAAUCUGUAAAUAUGAGUUGCCAGACAUUUGCACUGCAGUAAUGUAAAACGUAACUUUAGACAUUUGCACUGCAGUAUAAAUAUAAAUAAUGACAUUUCCCUUACAGCGAUGUGUUAAAAUACAACAUUAAACAAUUGUUAAAUAAGAAGUUGUGUGAGUGUUUUGUUCAAAUCUGCAGUCAUUUCUGCAGGUGAAAGUAAAAAAAAAGAAAGAUGAAAAGAAAGAAAUGGUCAGCUUCUUCUGAAACAUUUAAUGUGUUUUGUAGAUGAGCUGGAUCAUCAUGUCAUCCUGAGAAUAAAUAACCUCACACUCAAACUAUGCAGCUUCUCUGACUCCAUCAUCGACCCGAAACGCGUCACGCUGAUCUCUCCUGUCCUUACAGGAAACCUGGAGACCUAUAGUUAACAACUCAUACUAGUUCAUACUUCUGGAAAUUAGGGACACCAUGUACAUAUAUGUAAAUGGAUAUAUAUUCAGAAGGAUAGAAAUGAUACAGGUAAUUAAAAUUAACAUAAAAAUCAAUAUGAACUGUGAGAAACAGACACGGCUAACAAUUUAUUGCUAUUCGUAUAUAAAGCAUGACGAUACUCGCCCUCUCAAUGAUGAAUGUAACUCGAAAUGUAGAAGUUGAACCUCUUCUCUUCUUUGCUUGAUGUGACAGCGCUCUCCUAGAAACAGCGAGUGUUAUCUAUCAUCCUCACCUGCGCUAUCCGCUUAAAGUGAGUGAGCGCCGUGCUGCACCGGAGGUGUCAUGUGGACUAACCGCAAACAUGGAAGAGAUCGUGCGUAGAGUCCAUUAAAUGUUAGUAGUAGUCGAGUUGAACUGUCAUGGAUAUUAUACUUGGCAUACUUAUACUAUGAAUAUAAAUCUCAUCAAGUCGCAGAUUCAGCCAAGUUCACUUCUUUUCUGAUCAUCAACAGCUGCUCAUGUGAAGAUAUAAAGGUGAGUUGCUCUUCCACAGUCCUACAAUUCUUCUCAUCAGUUUGAGUCAUUAAAGCAAUUAAUACUUCAAUUAUUGAAAUAUGUGUCUGCUACUUUACCAAUAGGAGAUCAGGAGUUUUACUUAAUGAACCCUUGAGAACAGAGUGAAUUUCACACGAUGUUAUCACAAAUGAAAUAUUCAGAGUAGAUUUGGAGUCAGAGAGUUUUAUAAGGUUCACUGAUAUUUUGUUUAUGUUGAUUUCCAGGUUCUGUCAUUUUGGUCAUAAGUACAAGAUACAGAACUCUGCUGGACCCUCUGUACCUCAGACAGGAGAUGACCGUAAACUAAAGUUAAGGAGGAGUCUGCCUAAAAAAUAGAUUUAAAUGAUGGAGAGCACUGAAACUGUUCCCUAUACAACCUUCAGAUCACCAUGCACACCAGGAACGCAGACAGACUGGAUGUCAGAGAUAACAUUACUCGUCUACAUCGUGUCAUUGACAGUGAUGAGGAAAUAACUGCUCCACUGCUGAAUCUGCUUCAGCCAGCUGAUGGUGAGAAGGACAUGUCCAGCGUGGGCAUCGUGAAGAUGCUUUUGCAACAUAUUUUGAACUUUAUGCUUUGACCAUGAACUAUUGCAGAAGAAGACGCACCUCUGCAGCAAAUGUGUAUGAAGAUUUAUAAUCUGCAUUAUUGUUCAGGAGCGAUGUUGAUGUGAUGUGAUCUUCCAGAAGAGUGUUUUGAAUAUUGUAGUUAGGUAAUUAAAUAUGGUAGUAAUAUUUAAAUAUUGUAAUACGUUGGAAUAUUUGGAGAAAAUACAGAAAGUACACUAAAAUUGAACACGCUUUCGAAGCAGACAGAAGUUUUACUCGACAUAAACUAUUUAUUUUGUGGAUUAUUUAGUUUUACUUAUUUAAGUUCAACUAACAUUUGUUAAAACUGCAUCCUACAACAUUUUCCCAAAACUUCAUUUAUUUCCUCACAGGUUUGCUGAAGUCGUUGGUUGAGUUAGCUGAACUUUUCUAAAUACUGAAGGUAAAACAAACAAAAUAAAUCAUCUGAGUUUAAGUGGAGGUAAAUGAUUGUCUGCAGUGUGAGGUAUAGACUUCCUUUUCUCUUCACUUUAAUCUCUUUAUCAUGGUUGUAAUAACAUUAUUUCAGAUGCCAAACUGUCUAAAAUCACUGCUGAGUUUUACUGCUGUUUCAGUGAUAGUGUGGUGGAUGUUUGAACUUUUAUUAAAUGUUGAUUUUCCUCGGUCUGCUAUCUGGGUACAGACACCAGAAACAUCUACUGAAGUACAGGAAACAACUAUUCACAUCAUUACAUCUCUGGACAGGUGGCGCUGUGGAGCGUGUGUUUGUAUGUUCUCCGCAUUCGCACUCGCAGAAGGAGUUUCAGCGCUGGGCGCCAUUACCGGGGCUGUGAUGAUGUGACUGUGGACAUCUCGGCUGCUGUAAAUGCGGUAAAUGUGAAUAUUGCGGUAAUUAUUGCGGUAAUUAUUGCGGUACAUGUGAAUAUCUCCGCUGAUGUCCACGAAAGGGUGGAGCCCGGAGGCGGAGCGCGCGCUGGUGCAGCUGUGGCAGCAGUCCGCCUGCCUCUAUGAUCUCUCCGCCGCCGACUACCACAACCGAGAGGAGAAGGAGCGCCGGUGGAGAGAGGUGGCGGAGACCCUGCACAUGUCCAGUGAGUGUGUGUGCGCGCGUGCGAGAGAGAGAGUGUUUGUUU